This 497-nucleotide ribosomal RNA is filed under the name uncultured bacterium. Its description in RNAcentral is "partial 16S ribosomal RNA". It matches the Rfam family "Bacterial small subunit ribosomal RNA", at positions 28 to 507 of the family's 1533-position model. The record is from RNAcentral.
GAUGAACGCUGGCGGCGUGCCUAAUACAUGCAAGUCGAGCGAACGGACGAUAAGCUUGCUUCUCUGAUGUUAGCGGCGGACGUGUGAGUAACACGUGGAUACCCUACCUAUAAGACUGGGAUAACUUCGGGAAACCGGCGCUAAUACCGUAUAAUAUUUUGAUCCGCAUGGUUCAAAAGUGAAAUACGGUCUUGCUGUCACUUCUAGAUGGAUCCGCGCUGCAUUAGCUAGUUGUUACGGUAACGGCUUACCAAGGCAACGAUGCAUAGCCGACCUGAGAGGGGGAUCGGCCACACUGGAACGGAGACACGGUCCAGAGGCCUAAGGGAGGCAGCAGAAGGGAAUCUGACGCAAUGGGCGAAAGCAUGACGGAGCAACGCCGAGUGAGUGAUGAAGGUCUUCGGAGCGUAAAACUCUGUUAUGAGGGAAGAACAGAUGUGGAAGUAACUGUGCACAUAGUGACGGUAACUAAUCAGAAAGCAACGGCUAACUACGUG